Molecule: ribosomal RNA, 490 nt
Filed under: uncultured bacterium
Lineage: Bacteria
Description: partial 16S ribosomal RNA
Rfam family: Bacterial small subunit ribosomal RNA
Source: RNAcentral
AUUGAACGCUGGCGGCAGGCCUAACACAUGCAAGUCGAACGGUAACAGGAAGAAGCUUGCUUCUUUGCUGACGAGUGGCGGACGGGUGAGUAAUGUCUGGGAAACUGCCUGAUGGAGGGGGAUAACUACUGGAAACGGUAGCUAAUACCGCAUAACGUCGCAAGACCAAGGAGGGGGACUUUCGGGCCCCUUGCAUUCGGUUGUGCCCAGAUGGGAUUAGCUAGUAGGUGGGGUAACGGCUCACCUAGGCGACGAUCCCUAGCUGGUCUGAGAGGAUGACCAGCCACACUGGAACUGAGACACGGUCCAGACUCCUACGGGAGGCAGCAGUGGGGAAUAUUGCACAAUGGGCGCAAGCCUGAUGCAGCCAUGCCGCGUGUAUGAAGAAGGCCUUCGGGUUGUAAAGUACUUUCAGCGGGGAGGAAGGGAGUAAAGUUAAUACCUUUGCUCAUUGACGUUACCCGCAGAAGAAGCACCGGCUAACUCCGUG